GACGAACGCUGGCGGCGUGCUUAACACAUGCAAGUCGAACGGAAAGGCCCUGCUUUUGUGGGGUGCUCGAGUGGCGAACGGGUGAGUAACACGUGAGUAACCUGCCCUUGACUUUGGGAUAACUUCAGGAAACUGGGGCUAAUACCGGAUAGGAGCUCCUGCUGCAUGGUGGGGGUUGGAAAGUUUCGGCGGUUGGGGAUGGACUCGCGGCUUAUCAGCUUGUUGGUGGGGUAGUGGCUUACCAAGGCUUUGACGGGUAGCCGGCCUGAGAGGGUGACCGGCCACAUUGGGACUGAGAUACGGCGCAGACUCCUACGGGAGGCAGCAGUGGGGAAUAUUGCACAAUGGGCGGAAGCCUGAUGCAGCAACGCCGCGUGCGGGAUGACGGCCUUCGGGUUGUAAACCGCUUUCGCCUGUGACGAAGCGUGAGUGACGGUAAUGGGUAAAGAAGCACCGGCGAACUACGU
RNAcentral lists this ribosomal RNA (467 nucleotides) under uncultured bacterium. RNAcentral's name for it is "partial 16S ribosomal RNA". It matches the Rfam family "Bacterial small subunit ribosomal RNA", at positions 28 to 506 of the family's 1533-position model. The record is from RNAcentral.